Molecule: ribosomal RNA, 556 nt
Filed under: Bifidobacterium dentium
Lineage: Bacteria; Bacillati; Actinomycetota; Actinomycetes; Bifidobacteriales; Bifidobacteriaceae
Description: bacterial SSU rRNA
Rfam family: Bacterial small subunit ribosomal RNA
Source: RNAcentral
UCUCCUGGAAACGGGUGGUAAUGCCGGAUGCUCCAGUCCAUCGCAUGGUGGUCUGGGAAAGAUUCUAUCGGUAUGGGAUGGGGUCGCGUCCUAUCAGCUUGAUGGCGGGGUAACGGCCCACCAUGGCCUCGACGGGUAGCCGGCCUGAGAGGGCGACCGGCCACAUUGGGACUGAGAUACGGCCCAGACUCCUACGGGAGGCAGCAGUGGGGAAUAUUGCACAAUGGGCGCAAGCCUGAUGCAGCGACGCCGCGUGCGGGAUGGAGGCCUUCGGGUUGUAAACCGCUUUUGAUCGGGAGCAAGCCCUUCGGGGUGAGUGUACCCUUCGAAUAAGCACCGGCUAACUACGUGCCAGCAGCCGCGGUAAUACGUAGGGUGCAAGCGUUAUCCGGAAUUAUUGGGCGUAAAGGGCUCGUAGGCGGUUCGUCGCGUCCGGUGUGAAAGCCCAUCGCUUAACGGUGGGUCUGCGCCGGGUACGGGCGGGCUGGAGUGCGGUAGGGGAGACUGGAAUUCCCGGUGUAACGGUGGAAUGUGUAGAUAUCGGGAAAGAACACCA